UACGGGGGGGGCAAGCGUUGUUCGGAAUUACUGGGCGUAAAGGGCUCGUAGGCGGCCAACUAAGUCGGAUGUGAAAUCCCCAGGCUUAACCUGGGAACUGCAUCCGAUACUGGAUGGCUUGAAUUCGGGAGAGGGAUGCAGAAUUCCAGGUGUAGCGGUGAAAUGCGCAGAUAUCAGGAAGAACACCCGUGGCGAAGGCGGCUCUCUGGGACGGUACUGACGCUGAGACGCGAAAGCGUGGGGAGCGAACAGG
RNAcentral lists this ribosomal RNA (253 nucleotides) under uncultured bacterium. RNAcentral describes it as "partial 16S ribosomal RNA". It matches the Rfam family "Bacterial small subunit ribosomal RNA", at positions 524 to 776 of the family's 1533-position model. The record is from RNAcentral.